RNAcentral lists this transfer RNA (83 nucleotides) under Haslea ostrearia. RNAcentral's name for it is "tRNA-Leu". It matches the Rfam family "tRNA". From Rfam's summary of the family: Transfer RNA (tRNA) molecules are approximately 80 nucleotides in length. Their secondary structure includes four short double-helical elements and three loops (D, anti-codon, and T loops). The record is from RNAcentral. Lineage: Eukaryota; Bacillariophyta; Bacillariophyceae; Naviculales; Naviculaceae.
GCGGAUGUGGCGAAAUUGGUAGACGCGCUAGUUUUAGGUACUAGUAACUUUUUGUUGUGAGAGUUCGAGUCUCUCCAUCCGCA